UUGCCUUUUUCUUCUGAAAACAAGGAUCCUGGGAGAGUCAGCUCAGAGAGUUAACUUCCUUAAAUGGUCUGGCAGCUCAUGUUUACAGGAAGAGGAAAAUCUGGGAAAUACUGAUAGAAGUCAUAAAUGCAAGGAGGGAAAAAUAGGAUAGUUGAGGUCAUUUGCAGGUGCCUGCGAGUUAUUAUUCUUUUAAAAAAUGCCUAUUUGUGUCAUUACUAUGCCAAAAAUGUUCUAAAUUAUUCUAAAUGGUUUUAUUUAGACUGCUUUUUAAAAUUAAAUAAACAUUUUAAAGUUUUAAGUCAAAACUCUUCUGUGACAAAUUGAAGAAUAUUGAAGCUAUGAGAAAAGACACAGAAACAUCCUAUCAUGCAGCACUUUACAAUUGUAAAAUCAUUUUCUUUUCUAAAUGACCUAACCAUGUGAGGGGACCCUGAUUCCCAUUGGUCAACUAGAAUUCCAGAAAGAGUAAGAGAGAGACAAGCAAUAAGGAAAAACAACAGCAGAAUGGAUAAAGGGAAGGAGAGAAGAAAGAGGAGAGAGCAGAAGAAGUGAAGAUUCAGGCAAGGAAAUCAGAAGAUGGGACUAAAGAAGUAGAGGAGGAAGGAGAAGUUGGAAUGGACCUGCUGAUUGGCUUUAGAGGAGAAACCUCAGCAGUAUCCAGUGCACGCUGGCUAAUGCAUCUGUGAAAACUGCUUCAGAAUGUGACAGCUGGAAGCUAAGAGGAAAUAUCUAGAGAGCCCAGGAAAUAAUCAGAUUGGAUCUCACUAUGCCACCCCCUGCCAACUGAGAAGGGUGCCUUCUGAUGCCUCUGUUUCUUGAAUGAGGACUGGGAUGAAAGAGAAUUUGUGGUCAUCUGUGCUCUAGAAGAAGCCAUGGUAUCUGCACAUGCUCAAGUACCAUUUCCAUAGCAUUCAGAUAAAUAUAGUCCGAGGCAUCUGAAAUUUGUGGAGUGAUCAACCCUUCUCAGAAUUUUUUUUUUUUUUUCUGCAUUG
Mastomys coucha (southern multimammate mouse) is the source of this 992-nucleotide long non-coding RNA. RefSeq lists it as uncharacterized. The record is from RefSeq and is a predicted model, not a curated record. Lineage: Eukaryota; Metazoa; Chordata; Mammalia; Rodentia; Muridae. The transcript is spliced from 6 exons.